RNAcentral lists this ribosomal RNA (468 nucleotides) under uncultured bacterium. Its description in RNAcentral is "partial 16S ribosomal RNA". It matches the Rfam family "Bacterial small subunit ribosomal RNA", at positions 28 to 507 of the family's 1533-position model. The record is from RNAcentral.
GACGAACGCUGGCGGCGUGCUUAACACAUGCAAGUCGAACGGAAAGGCCCUGCUUUUGUGGGGUGCUCGAGUGGCGAACGGGUGAGUAACACGUGAGUAACCUGCCCUUGACUUUGGGAUAACUUCAGGAAACUGGGGCUAAUACCGGAUAGGAGCUCCUGCUGCAUGGUGGGGGUUGGAAAGUUUCGGCGGUUGGGGAUGGACUCGCGGCUUAUCAGCUUGUUGGUGGGGUAGUGGCUUACCAAGGCUUUGACGGGUAGCCGGCCUGAGAGGGUGACCGGCCACAUUGGGACUGAGAGACGGCCCAGACUGCUACGUAAGGCAGCGGUGGGGAGUAUUGCACAAUGAGCGGGAGCCUGAUGCGACAACGCCGCGUGCGGGAUGACGGCCAUGGGGUUGUAAAGCGCUUUCGCCUGUGACGAAGCGUGAGUGACGGUAAUGGGUAAAGAAGCACCGGCUAACUACGUG